UACGAAGGGGCUAGCGUUGCUCGGAUUGACUGGGCGUAAAGGGCGCGUAGGCGGUUCGUACAGUCAGACGUGAAAUUCCUGGGCUCAACCUGGGGCUGCGUUUGAUACGUGCGGACUUGAGUGCGGAAGAGGGUCGUGGAAUUCCAGUGUAGAGGUGAAAUUCGUAGAUAUUGGGAAGAACACCGGUGGCGAAGGCGGCGACCUGGUCCUUGACUGACGCUGAGGCGCGAAAGCGUGGGAGCAAACAGG
This 249-nucleotide ribosomal RNA is filed under the name uncultured bacterium. RNAcentral's name for it is "partial 16S ribosomal RNA". It matches the Rfam family "Bacterial small subunit ribosomal RNA", at positions 524 to 776 of the family's 1533-position model. The record is from RNAcentral.